AACGAACGCUGGCGGCGUGCCUAACACAUGCAAGUCGAACGAGAAAGGGGCUUCGGCUCCGAGUAAAGUGGCGCACGGGUGAGUAACACGUAGGUAACCUGCCUCUAAGAUUGGGAUAACCUGUCGAAAGACGAGCUAAUACCGAAUAAGACCACGGCUUCCUCGGAAGCAGGGGUCAAAGGUAGCCUCUACUUGUAAGCUAUCACUUAGAGAUGGGCCUGCGUACCAUUAGCUAGNGGUGGGUAACGGCCUACCAAGGCAAAGAUGGUUAGCUGGUCUGAGAGGAUGAUCAGCCACACUGGAACUGAGACACGGUCCAGACUCCUACGGGAGCAGCAGUGGGGAAUAUUGCGCAAUGGGCGAAAGCCUGACGCAGCAACGCCGCGUGAGUGAUGAAGGCCUU
This 403-nucleotide ribosomal RNA is filed under the name uncultured bacterium. RNAcentral describes it as "bacterial SSU rRNA". It matches the Rfam family "Bacterial small subunit ribosomal RNA", at positions 29 to 418 of the family's 1533-position model. The record is from RNAcentral.